RNAcentral lists this ribosomal RNA (436 nucleotides) under uncultured bacterium. RNAcentral describes it as "bacterial SSU rRNA". It matches the Rfam family "Bacterial small subunit ribosomal RNA", at positions 958 to 1393 of the family's 1533-position model. The record is from RNAcentral.
AACGCGAAGAACCUUACCAGGUCUUGACAUCCUCUGACAACCCUAGAGAUAGGGCUUUCCCCUUCGGGGGACAGAGUGACAGGUGGUGCAUGGUUGUCGUCAGCUCGUGUCGUGAGAUGUUGGGUUAAGUCCCGCAACGAGCGCAACCCUUGAUCUUAGUUGCCAGCAUUAAGUUGGGCACUCUAAGGUGACUGCCGGUGACAAACCGGAGGAAGGUGGGGAUGACGUCAAAUCAUCAUGCCCCUUAUGACCUGGGCUACACACGUGCUACAAUGGAUGGAACAAAGGGCAGCGAAGCCGCGAGGUGAAGCCAAUCCCAUAAAACCAUUCUCAGUUCGGAUUGCAGGCUGCAACUCGCCUGCAUGAAGCCGGAAUCGCUAGUAAUCGCGGAUCAGCAUGCCGCGGUGAAUACGUUCCCGGGUCUUGUACACACCGA